Molecule: ribosomal RNA, 408 nt
Filed under: uncultured bacterium
Lineage: Bacteria
Description: partial 16S ribosomal RNA
Rfam family: Bacterial small subunit ribosomal RNA
Source: RNAcentral
AGUGAACGCUGGCGGUGUGCCUAAUACAUGCAAGUCGAACGGAGUGGCGCACGGGUGAGAAAUAUAUAGCUAAACUGCCCCUUGCUGGAGGACAACAGUUAGAAAUGACUGCCAGUACUCCAUAGCAAGGGAUGAGACUAUAUCGUAUCAGCUAGUCGGUGGGGUAACGGCGUACCGAGGGUAUGACGCGUAACUGGUCUGAGAGGAUGAGCAGCUACAGUGGAAGUGAGACACGGUGGAGACUCCUACGGGAGGCAGCAGAAGCGAAUAUUGCGCAAUGGGGGAAACCCUUACGCAGCAACGCCGCGUGGAGGAUGACACUUUGCGGAGCGUAAACACCUUUUAUUAGGGAAGCGGUACCUGACGAAUAAGCACCGGCUAACUCCGUGCCAGCAGCCGCGGUAAUUC